This 376-nucleotide small RNA is filed under the name Pan troglodytes (chimpanzee). Its description in RNAcentral is "retained intron". Lineage: Eukaryota; Metazoa; Chordata; Mammalia; Primates; Hominidae. The record is from RNAcentral.
GCUACCACUCUCCAGCUGCUCCCGCUACCGAUCCUGCUAUGACUGCAUCUUGGCCCGAGACCCCUACUGUGGCUGGGACCCUGGCACCCAUGCCUGCGCGGCAGCCACCACCAUAGCCAACAGGACAGCACUGAUACAGGACAUAGAGAGAGGAAAUCGAGGCUGUGAGAGCAGCAGGGAUACAGGUAAGUGACUCAUAUGAGUGUGGGUCUAGCUACGCAGACUGUCCUCUUUGCCAUUUACUGCCAUGUGUACGUAUAUGUUUGUAUCUGAGUGGCUGUGGCUAUGUACAUUUGGUAAGGAUGACUCAAACACAGAGCCUGGCACAGAGUAAGUGCUCAACAAACAUUUACUGCCCAAAUGAAUUAUAAACGAG